GGGGAUGCACCGGAUUCGAUUGCCGGUGAGCGAAAGGAUAAGCAUACCGCAGACGGAGUGACUGCGAUAAAACAUUCCACCUAAAUUUAAAUGCAAAUAAUAAUGCAUACGCUCUUGCAGCGUAACUUCGUUUAUUAACGAAACGUCACGCCUGAUUUAUCCGUCGGUCGGGGUCGUGGCGUCAACAAGACGGAACACUUUUAUAAAAAUCGGAAAGUGUUUUUAUAAAAGUAUUUAGCUUUCUGCGAUUAUAAAAGCGUGUUUACCCGCGUUUAUAAUUUAAGAAAUAAUAGAUAAACUAAGUAUGUAGAAAGUUUUUUGGCAGCCGAGUAAGACGUGGGUUCAACUCCCACCAUCUCCACCA
This 364-nucleotide transfer-messenger RNA is filed under the name Christensenellaceae. RNAcentral's name for it is "Scatosoma sp015055865 Standard tmRNA". It matches the Rfam family "transfer-messenger RNA". Rfam says of the family: Bacterial tmRNA, also known as 10Sa RNA or SsrA, is named for its dual tRNA and mRNA-like properties. Lineage: Bacteria; Bacillati; Bacillota; Clostridia; Christensenellales. The record is from RNAcentral. RNAcentral also lists the same sequence under 1 other name.